RNAcentral lists this ribosomal RNA (495 nucleotides) under uncultured bacterium. RNAcentral's name for it is "partial 16S ribosomal RNA". It matches the Rfam family "Bacterial small subunit ribosomal RNA", at positions 28 to 507 of the family's 1533-position model. The record is from RNAcentral.
GACGAACGCUGGCGGCGUGCCUAAUACAUGCAAGUAGAACGCUGAAGGAGGAGCUUGCUUCUCUGGAUGAGUUGCGAACGGGUGAGUAACGCGUAGGUAACCUGCCUGGUAGCGGGGGAUAACUAUUGGAAACGAUAGCUAAUACCGCAUAAGAGUAGAUGUUGCAUGACAUUUGCUUAAAAGGUGCAAUUGCAUCACUACCAGAUGGACCUGCGUUGUAUUAGCUAGUUGGUGGGGUAACGGCUCACCAAGGCGACGAUACAUAGCCGACCUGAGAGGGUGAUCGGCCACACUGGGACUGAGACACGGCCCAGACUCCUACGGGAGGCAGCAGUAGGGAAUCUUCGGCAAUGGACGGAAGUCUGACCGAGCAACGCCGCGUGAGUGAAGAAGGUUUUCGGAUCGUAAAGCUCGGUUGUAAGAGAAGAACGAGUGUGAGAGUGGAAAGUUCACACUGUGACGGUAGCUUACCAGAAAGGGACGGCUAACUACGUG